RNAcentral lists this ribosomal RNA (484 nucleotides) under uncultured bacterium. RNAcentral describes it as "partial 16S ribosomal RNA". It matches the Rfam family "Bacterial small subunit ribosomal RNA", at positions 29 to 507 of the family's 1533-position model. The record is from RNAcentral.
AGUGAACGCUGGCGGCAGGCCUAACACAUGCAAGUCGAGCGGCAGCGCGGGGGCAACCCUGGCGGCGAGCGGCGGACGGGUGAGGAAUUCGUCGGAAUCUGCCUUUUUGUGGGGGAUAACGAAGGGAAACAUACGCUAAUACCACAUACGUCCUACGGGAGAAAGUGGGGGACCGCAAGGCCUCACGCAGAAAGAUGAGCCGACGACCGAUUAGCUAGUUGGUGGGGUAAAGGCCCACCAAGGCGACGAUCGGUAGCUGGUCUGAGAGGAUGAUAAGCCACACUGGGACUUAGACACGGCCCAGACUCCUACGGGAGGCAGCAGUGGGGAAUAUUGGACAAUGGGCGCAAGCCUGAUCCAGCCAUGCCGCGUGUGUGAAGAAGGCCUUCGGGUUGUAAAGCACUUUUGUCCGGAAAGAAAUCCCUGGAGCUAAUACCUUCGGGGGAUGACGGUACCGGAAGAAUAAGCACCGGCUAACUUCGUG